GAUGAACGCUAGCGGCAGGCCUAAUACAUGCAAGGCGAGGGGGCAGCAAUGUCACCGUCGUACGGGUGCGUAACGCGUAUGCAACCUACCCACCACUGGGGGAUAGCCCGGGGAAACCCGGAUUAAUACCGCAUAAUACAGGGAUUUCUCAUGGAUUUUCUGUUAAAGAUUUAUCGGUGGUGGAUGGGCAUGCGUUCGAUUAGCUAGUUGGCGGGGUAACGGCCCACCAAGGCGACGAUCGAUAGGGGAGCUGAGAGGUCGAUCCCCCACACGGGCACUGAGAUACGGGCCCGACUCCUACGGGAGGCAGCAGUAGGGAAUAUUGGGCAAUGGAUGCAAGUCUGACCCAGCCAUGCCGCGUGCCGGAUGAAGGCCCUCAGGGUUGUAAACGGCUUUUAUCUGGGAAGAAGACCGGGGAUGCGUCCCCGGGUGACGGUACCAGAGGAAUAAGCACCGGCUAACUCCGUGC
This 469-nucleotide ribosomal RNA is filed under the name uncultured bacterium. RNAcentral describes it as "bacterial SSU rRNA". It matches the Rfam family "Bacterial small subunit ribosomal RNA", at positions 28 to 508 of the family's 1533-position model. The record is from RNAcentral.